CCUACGGGUGGCAGCAGUGGGGAAUAUUGCACAAUGGGGGAGACUCUGAUGCAGCCACGCCGCGUGAGUGAAGAAGUAUCUCGGUACGUAAAGCUCUAUCAGCAGGGAAGAAAAUGACGGUACCUGACUAAGAAGCCCCGGCUAACUACGUGCCAGCAGCCGCGGUAAUACGUAGGGGGCAAGGGUUAUCCGGAUUUACUGGGUGUAAAGGGAGCGUAGACGGCAGCACAAGUCUGGAGUGAAAUCCCGGGGCUUAACCCCGGAACUGCUUUGGAAACUGUGCGGCUGGAGUGCAGGAGGGGUAGGCGGAAUUCCUAGUGUAGCGGUGAAAUGCGUAGAUAUUAGGAGGAACACCGGUGGCGAAGGCGGCUUACUAGACUGUAACUGACGUUGAGGCUCGAAAGCGUGGGGAGCAAACAGGAUUAGAUACCCCGGUAGUC
RNAcentral lists this ribosomal RNA (440 nucleotides) under uncultured bacterium. RNAcentral's name for it is "partial 16S ribosomal RNA". It matches the Rfam family "Bacterial small subunit ribosomal RNA", at positions 338 to 795 of the family's 1533-position model. The record is from RNAcentral.